CCUACGGGCGGCAGCAGUGGGGAAUAUUGCACAAUGGGGGAAACCCUGAUGCAGCGACGCCGCGUGAGUGAAGAAGUAUUUCGGUAUGUAAAGCUCUAUCAGCAGGGAAGAAAAUGACGGUACCUGACUAAGAAGCCCCGGCUAACUACGUGCCAGCAGCCGCGGUAAUACGUAGGGGGCAAGCGUUAUCCGGAUUUACUGGGUGGAAAGGGAGCGUAGACGGUGAUGCAAGUCAGAAGUGAAAGCCCGGGGCUCAACUCCGGGACUGCUUUUGAAACUGUGUGACUGGAGUGCAGGAGAGGUGAGCGGAAUUCCUGGUGUAGCGGUGAAAUGCGUAGAUAUCAGGAGGAACACCAGUGGCGAAGGCGGCUUACUGGACUGUAACUGACGUUGAGGCUCGAAAGCGUGGGGAGCAAACAGGAUUAGAUACCCGAGUAGUC
This 440-nucleotide ribosomal RNA is filed under the name uncultured bacterium. RNAcentral's name for it is "partial 16S ribosomal RNA". It matches the Rfam family "Bacterial small subunit ribosomal RNA", at positions 338 to 795 of the family's 1533-position model. The record is from RNAcentral.